ACAAUUAUUGGGUCUAAAAUAUCCGUAGCUUGCUAAAGAAGUCUCCUGUGAAAUCCAGCAUCUUAAGUGUAGGGCGUGCAGGAGAUACUCUUUGGCUAGAGACCGGCAGGCGUAAGAAGUACAUUCGGGGUAGUGGUAAAAUAUUUUAAUCCCGAGUGGACUGACAGUCGCGAAGGCGUCUUACGAGGACGGUUCUGACAGUGAGGGAUGAAGGCUAGGGGCGCAAAAGGGAUUAGAUACCCCUGUAGUCCUAGCAGUAAACACUGCUCACUAAACAUUAGUACCUCCUCGAGAGGUAUUGGUGCUGUAGCGAAGGCGAAGAGUGAGCUACCUGGGAAGUAUAGUCGCAAGACCGAAACUUAAAGGAAUUGGCAGGGGAGCACUACAACGGGUGACGCGUACGGUUCAAUCAGAUUCUACACCGUGAACCUCACCAGGAUCGACAGCAGAAUGAAGGUCAGUCUAAAGGGCUUACCUGACACGCUGAGAGGAGUUACAUAGUCGACGUCAGCCUGUGUCGUGAGAUGACCUGUUAAAUCAGGUAACAGGCGAGAUCCGCGUGAACAGUUGCUACGUUAAGAGCACACUGUCCAGACUGCCUUGGUAACAAGGAGGAAGGUGCGGGCUACGUUAGGUGGCACGACCCUAAUACCCUGGGCUACACGCGCGCGUCAAUGCUAUAUACAGUGAGAUGCAACUCUGAGAAGAGAAGCUAAUACCAUAAAGUAUAGCUUAGUUCAGAUUGUGGGCUGCAACUUGCCCACAUGACGCUGGAAUCCGUAGUAAUUGUUUUUUAUCAAAA
This 802-nucleotide ribosomal RNA is filed under the name uncultured euryarchaeote. Its description in RNAcentral is "bacterial SSU rRNA". It matches the Rfam family "Archaeal small subunit ribosomal RNA", at positions 497 to 1313 of the family's 1478-position model. The record is from RNAcentral. Lineage: Archaea; Methanobacteriati; Methanobacteriota.